CGUUCAGUUUUUGGUCAUGCCUGAAGGCCAUCUCGAACUGUUUCCACCAAAUGGCGUUUUGGUAGAGGCAUGUUGCAUACUGGCAUCAUAUUCACAACCAUGGCAUGGAUUGAAAAGGAGCUGCAAGGUUCUUUCUUUAUCUCUUAUUCUCUUCUAGGCCCGGGUUGACCUUCAGCUCUGAGCUCCACCGGCGUCUUCAAAUUCCCGACGGCGCCGACCACGAGGCAUAGUCAGCGGCAUCUCAUCAAACCGCAACGAAAUGUUCUGGAUUGUGCGUGUUGCUCAGCCUUCGGAAUCUUUCAGGAAGCCUAACACCACUGUGCUGCUCGGCCGCCGCUGAACUCCCGAUUCGCCGGCAAAUCACCCUCGGGCGUUGCUCGGUGUUCCAGGAUGGUGAACCAAGCACCGACCCAGUGACCCAGAUAUUCCUUCUUCCCCAGCGGCCUCGCCGUCUCCAGCCGCCUUGCAGCAUCGGAUAACGAGGGGCGGCGCUGCGGCGGCCAUGGCGGGCGCGCGCUCACAUGGCGGUAUAUUUUGCUCGGAAUUGUGGAAUGGGCGGUUCGAAUUCCGAGAAAAUUAUUAUACCCCCCCCCCCCCCUCUCUCAAGUUGCUGCAAACGGUGCAGAGCCCACCCAUCGCUUGGAAACAGUUACAAUCCGCUCGCAGUGCUGAAUCUGUGAAUUGCGGUGCACACCGGGCCCAGACCGAAGCAUCCGAUGUUCACGGAGCCGCAUCCAUGGCGUGGGCACAGGAGUGCAGGCUGCGGCCCGUGCCCCGGCGCUCGCUUCCUAGGUGCAGGGCAGCGCGGCGGCCAAGUGCAAGCUGGCUUGGAGUAACUGUCCCCUGGGGCUCGGAUUUCGCUUGGCUGCUCGAUCGAAGCUUAAUCUCUUUGUGUCAAGAGAAGAGGACUGAAGGCAAGGUCAGGACGCGAUAGUAACAUGUCUCUUGGGAUCAGCAUUGCAAAACAGAAAGUUUAUGGAACGUAAAAAGAAAAGGUUCAUAUGUUGGUGAUAUGUUCUAGAAACGAUUGUAUAUGCAGAUUGAAUCUGUAAGUGAUAUUUAAUAUAAUUAAAAGUCUAUUAGGGUUUAUA
Long non-coding RNA from Phragmites australis (common reed), 1091 nucleotides. RefSeq lists it as uncharacterized. Lineage: Eukaryota; Viridiplantae; Streptophyta; Magnoliopsida; Poales; Poaceae. The transcript has 3 exons. The record is from RefSeq and is a predicted model, not a curated record.